UACAGAGGUCUCAAGCGUUGUUCGGAUUCAUUGGGCGUAAAGGGCUCGUAGGCGGCCAACUAAGUCGGACGUGAAAUCCCCAGGCUCAACCUGGGAACUGCGUCCGAUACUGGAUGGCUUGAAUCCGGGAGAGGGAUGCAGAAUUCCAGGUGUAGCGGUGAAAUGCGUAGAUAUCAGGAGGAACACCAAUGGCGAAGGCAGCUCGCUGGGACGUGACUGACGCUGAGACGCGAAAGCGUGGGGAGCAAACAGG
This 253-nucleotide ribosomal RNA is filed under the name uncultured bacterium. RNAcentral's name for it is "partial 16S ribosomal RNA". It matches the Rfam family "Bacterial small subunit ribosomal RNA", at positions 524 to 776 of the family's 1533-position model. The record is from RNAcentral.